GACGAACGCUGGCGGCGUGCCUAAUACAUGCAAGUUGAGCGAUGAAGAUUGGUGCUUGCACCAAUUUGAAGAGCAGCGAACGGGUGAGUAACGCGUGGGGAAUCUGCCUUUGAGCGGGGGACAACAUUUGGAAACGAAUGCUAAUACCGCAUAACAACUUUAAACAUAAGUUUUAAGUUUGAAAGAUGCAAUUGCAUCACUCAAAGAUGAUCCCGCGUUGUAUUAGCUAGUUGGUGAGGUAAAGGCUCACCAAGGCGAUGAUACAUAGCCGACCUGAGAGGGUGAUCGGCCACAUUGGGACUGAGACACGGCCCAAACUCCUACGGGAGGCAGCAGUAGGGAAUCUUCGGCAAUGGACGAAAGUCUGACCGAGCAACGCCGCGUGAGUGAAGAAGGUUUUCGGAUCGUAAAACUCUGUUGGUAGAGAAGAACGUUGGUGAGAGUGGAAAGCUCAUCAAGUGACGGUAACUACCCAGAAAGGGACGGCUAACUACGUGCCAGCAGCCGCGGUAAUACGUAGGUCCCGAGCGUUGUC
RNAcentral lists this ribosomal RNA (535 nucleotides) under uncultured bacterium. RNAcentral's name for it is "bacterial SSU rRNA". It matches the Rfam family "Bacterial small subunit ribosomal RNA", at positions 28 to 545 of the family's 1533-position model. The record is from RNAcentral.